GUGCUUACUUCAGCAGCACAUAUACUAAAAAUUGGAAUGAUACAGAGAAAAUUAGCAUGGCCCCUGUGCAGGGAUGACAUGCAAAUUUGUGAAAAGUUUCAUAUUUUU
This is a small nuclear RNA of Dipodomys spectabilis (banner-tailed kangaroo rat), 108 nucleotides long. NCBI's taxonomy places the organism in Eukaryota, Metazoa, Chordata, Mammalia, Rodentia, Heteromyidae. The record is from RefSeq and is a predicted model, not a curated record.